GACGAACGCUGGCGGCGUGCCUAAUACAUGCAAGUAGAACGCUGAAGGAGGAGCUUGCUUCUCCGGAUGAGUUGCGAACGGGUGAGUAACGCGUAGGUAACCUGCCUGGUAGCGGGGGAUAACUAUUGGAAACGAUAGCUAAUACCGCAUAAUAGCAGUUAUUGCAUGAUAACUGUUUGAAAGGUGCAAUUGCAUCACUACCAGAUGGACCUGCGUUGUAUUAGCUAGUUGGUGGGGUAACGGCUCACCAAGGCAACGAUACAUAGCCGACCUGAGAGGGUGAUCGGCCACACUGGGACUGAGACACGGCCCAGACUCCUACGGGAGGCAGCAGUAGGGAAUCUUCGGCAAUGGACGGAAGACUGACCGAGCAACGCCGCGUGAGUGAAGAAGGUUUUCGGAUCGUAAAGCUCUGUUGUAAGAG
RNAcentral lists this ribosomal RNA (424 nucleotides) under Streptococcus mitis. Its description in RNAcentral is "bacterial SSU rRNA". It matches the Rfam family "Bacterial small subunit ribosomal RNA", at positions 28 to 444 of the family's 1533-position model. Lineage: Bacteria; Bacillati; Bacillota; Bacilli; Lactobacillales; Streptococcaceae. The record is from RNAcentral.